This is a long non-coding RNA of Capsella rubella, 567 nucleotides long. RefSeq lists it as uncharacterized. NCBI's taxonomy places the organism in Eukaryota, Viridiplantae, Streptophyta, Magnoliopsida, Brassicales, Brassicaceae. The transcript is spliced from 5 exons. The record is from RefSeq and is a predicted model, not a curated record.
AUAAAGAUUUGGAUCAAGAGGACUUCCUCACAAUUAUCAAGAAAGAAGAAGGAUCAUGUAGUAUCAGCAUUACUACAUUCAUAACCUGAGGGUGGAGAAGGUUCGACGGUGACUCAAGGCUCGAUGAAUGUCUUUAUGAUGAGCUCCAUUGAUCCUCUGUUUUCUUCAGUCAUUAGAGACCAUUACUGAAGAGGAGAAUAUUUAUAAGCAGAAACGACCACCGUCUGAGUCACUGUAGCCUUCAGGAUUCUUAAAUAUCACAGGUGUAUCUGAUACUCGAUGAAUUCAUUCUUGCUGGGGAGCUCCAAGAAACAAGCAAAAGGGCGAUCAUCGAAAGGAUGUCAGAACUCGAGAAGUUGGAGUAAUGAAUGCGUGCUAGUCCAUCUGUUUUUCUCUUUUUCUUUCUUGGCCUGUCUGGAGCUUAGCGAUGCUUUGAUGAGUCGAAGACAAUGUUGGUGUUAAGAUUGUGAAUGAUAUAGGAAUGAUUCUGCUGUUAUCAUUCAUCCAAAAUUUGUUUAUCCGCGAUUUUCGUUUGAACUAGUGAGGUUACUAUUUAUCGCAGACACU